Molecule: non-coding RNA, 1044 nt
Organism: Pelobates cultripes (western spadefoot toad)
Lineage: Eukaryota; Metazoa; Chordata; Amphibia; Anura; Pelobatidae
Source: the annotation of a GenBank genome assembly
GCAAGGUGAAAUUAAGUUGUCUUGUAUUAAUUGGCUAGCCACAUGAAUCUAAUCUCCCAAGUCUAAACGUAGCAAAGCGAGAUUGGAUUAUUUUGUUUUAGUGUCUUAAUUUCACCCAGUCUAAACGUAGCAAGGUGAAAUUAAGUUGUCUUGUAUUAACUGUUUAAACUCAUAGGUUAAACAUAGCACUUGAGUAAGAUGUAUUGUGUUAAAAUUGUAUAACUGUGUGUAUAUGGUUUAAAGUUUGAUAAACUGUAACAUCAUUUGAGAAGAGAUUUUUGUGUAAACUCCAGUUGUCAGUUAGUAUACAAGCUGAAAAUUGUGACCUUUCGAUCUCUCAAAAGGUGAUACAGUGAGUGUAUACAUUUGGUGUUUCAACGUACAAGUAACAGAAAUGAGGUUGAAUCAUGGCAAGCAGCUUGAUCAUGGGGAUAGUAUACCCAGUGAUUCCCCAGUUUAUUUAAUGAAACAGAAAUAUGGCCCUUCAAAUAUUAUGUAUUCAAAGAAAUGGGCAAAGUUAACUAAGAAUAAUAUAAAUCCAUGGCCAGUGGUGGGGUCAUUAGACCCUUGGGUGUUGUUAAGUUUAAGAACAAUGUUGUUAAAUGAAAAAAGUCUUUCAAAACUGGAAUGGUCUGCAUAUAUGUUAUGGCAUGAGGAAAUUGAAAAGAAAAAGCAAGAAUGUUCCCCCCAGUCUGGUGCAACAGGAGGGGCAUGUAAAGGAGAGGGUACUGGUGUUGCCUGUUUGUAUCCCUCACUGUACAAUUUAAAAAGAAAUGUUAAAAAUCCUCCGCCUUAUAAUGAUGAUGAGGAUUUUUUGAUUAAUCAUGAGAUUAUGAAUCCCUCUUUGGGUCACCGCCCCUCAGCAGAUGAAUGAUGCACCACAGCUUGUACCCCAAAAUUUAGCUGGUGCCUCAGCCAUGUUGCAUUGAGGUGGUAGACCUGAGAGGGAUAUUAGACUGCCUAAAAGAUUUGCUGAUCAUGCUGUGGUUACUAUCAGGUUUAUCAGGAUGUAGCAAUGUGUUGCCUGAGAGUGAUGGGAGUGAG